Molecule: non-coding RNA, 77 nt
Organism: Gossypium arboreum
Lineage: Eukaryota; Viridiplantae; Streptophyta; Magnoliopsida; Malvales; Malvaceae
Source: Rfam
AUCCCAUGGUGAGGGCAUCUUCUCAAGAGGUCCUUGUAUCUCUCCCAUGCAUCAUAGAGUGUUUCUAAAUCCAUCUG